GACGAACGCUGGCGGCGUGCUUAACACAUGCAAGUCGAACGGAAAGGCCUUUUCGGAGGUACUCGAGUGGCGAAGGGGGGCGUAACACGUGGGUGAUCUGCCCUGCACUCUGGGAUAAGCCUGGGAAAGUGGGGCUAAUACCGGAAAGGACCGAAAUGUAGUGCGGGUGGUGGCAAGGGUUUUCGGUGUAGGAUGAGCCCGCGGCGUAUCAGCUUGUUGGUGGGGGGAUGGGCUGCCAAGGCGGCGACGGGUAGCGGGACUGAGGGGUUGGGCGGCGACACUGAGACUGAGGGGAGGCCCAGACGCCGAAGGGAGGCAGCAGGGCGGAAGAUUGAACCAUGGGCGCCAGGCUGGUGAAGCGACGCCGCGUGGGGGAUGACGGCCUUCGGGUUGUAAACUACUUGCGCCAGGGACGACGCGUGUUGUGACGGUACCUGGAGAAGAAGCACCGGCUAACUACGUG
Molecule: ribosomal RNA, 463 nt
Filed under: uncultured bacterium
Lineage: Bacteria
Description: partial 16S ribosomal RNA
Rfam family: Bacterial small subunit ribosomal RNA
Source: RNAcentral